Molecule: long non-coding RNA, 1361 nt
Organism: Mustela lutreola (European mink)
Lineage: Eukaryota; Metazoa; Chordata; Mammalia; Carnivora; Mustelidae
Exons: 4
Source: RefSeq, a predicted model, not a curated record
GAGGUAGAGGGAGAGAGAACCUCAAGCAGCCCUCAUGCUGAGGGAGGAGCCUGAGGUGGGGCUUGGUCCCAUGAUCCUGAGAUCAUGACCUGAGUGGAAAUCAAGAGUCAGCAUCUCGACCAAGGGAGGCACCCAGGCGCUCCUAUUCCGAGGCUGUCUUAAACUUUGCACUCUCUUCUUACACAGCAUUAGGGCAGCCCCAUAGUUCUUCAAACUUAAUUUUUCCCUUAUUUAAAAAUUUUUGAAACCCCUGUAAUCAUGUUACCAUUUUUCUGGUAUCAUGGGUUACUUUUCAUUUAGUUAAAACAAACAAACAAACAAACAAACAAACAAAACUGACCAGUUGAUCAAAAAGAGACAAAGUCCCAGCUCCUAGAAGCCAGGGACUGCAUUUCUCCUAUGAUUUCUGAAUCAUCCCAGAGAACGUGGGAAGGGCCUCAGCAGAUUAUGUGAGGGAUGACUUGGCAAUAAUUGUGUUGGAAAAUACUUCUUGGCAAAGGAAAGUGAGAUUAGGAACUGAACGGAUCCUGGAAUGAAUCAGAUACAAAAGGUUUUUUUCGUGCCACUCAAAGAAGGUAGAGGGAAAAAGAUAGGGCAACUGAGGGUUAAAAAAAAAAAGUCAUCGAAAAUGUGCUUUAAAAAAACAAACAUAAAACUGGUCCUUGAACCCUGUUGGAGAUCAGCGUUCUGAGGCCAAGGUCUAACGGGAGCAGAAGGUUGUAGGGAGGAGAUAACUUCUCUCCCCGGUAGAUCCAGCCUCUCCUUUAGCUAGCACAUUAUCCGUUCCAGUUUCCUUUUUCUUGAGCUUCAUCUCGUUUAAGCAGCUCUGAUGAGUGCUGGCCGUCUCUCUUGUUGCCGGGUGUUAAUAGAGUGCAGAGCAGGUGAAAAUCUCGGGGACAUUGGGCAUGGUCCGCGAACACGUAAGCGCAGCCUGGAGUUUGGAAAAGCCGCAUAGAAUGCUGGCACCGUGUUAGCUUCUGGAUAUAGAGCAACAGCAAAAUGAACACAGCCCCCGCCUUAUUGUUCGUACAGCUCAGCUCUGCACGGGAAGACAGACAAGAAACAGGAAGGCAAUUCUCCACAUCAGUUUGCUGUUGGCUUGGUAACCACUCUUGAUACAUCCGCUCACAUGAAACAGCCCUCCAUCCUCUAGAGAAGAAAGUAGACGUUAAUACCACUCUGUUUGGGAAAGUCCUUAUCUGCCUCCAUGUGAAACCCUGAGUUACUGAGAAGAUGGAUCAGAGAAAAUCCCCAAUUUGCUUUUCAUUACCGUGAUUCUUGAACGUGCCUUUGUAACUCAAUUAAUAUGGUAAGUACUAGAAAUAGAAAUGUGAGUGAGUGAGAUAUGAGGAAGUCAAAAC